This 252-nucleotide ribosomal RNA is filed under the name uncultured bacterium. Its description in RNAcentral is "partial 16S ribosomal RNA". It matches the Rfam family "Bacterial small subunit ribosomal RNA", at positions 524 to 775 of the family's 1533-position model. The record is from RNAcentral.
UACGUAGGGUGCGAGCGUUGUCCGGAAUUAUUGGGCGUAAAGAGCUCGUAGGCGGCUUGUCGCGUCGGAUGUGAAAGCCCGGGGCUUAACCCCGGGUCUGCAUUCGAUACGGGCAGGCUAGAGUUCGGUAGGGGAGAUCGGAAUUCCUGGUGUAGCGGUGAAAUGCGUAGAUAUCGUGAGGAAGACCAGUGGCGAAGGCGGGUCUCUGGACAGUUCCUGACGCUGAGGCGCGAAGGCCAGGGGAGCAAACGG